AGAAUCAACGCUGGCGGCGUGCCUAACACAUGCAAGUCGAACGAGAAAGUGGGGCAAUCCAUGAGUAAAGUGGCGACCGGGUGAGUAACACGUGACUAACCUACCCUCGAGUGGGGAAUAACAUCGGGAAACCGAUGCUAAUACCGCAUAACAUCGCAAGAUCAAAGCCGAAAGGCGCUUGAGGAGGGGGUCGCGGCUGAUUAGCUAGUUGGUAGGGUAAUGGCCUACCAAGGCUUAGAUCGGUAGCCGGCCUGAGAGGGCGCACGGCCACACUGGAACUGAAACACGGUCCAGACUCCUACGGGAGGCAGCAGUGGGGAAUUUUGCGCAAUGGGGGAAACCCUGACGCAGCAACGCCGCGUGGAGGAUGAAGUCCCUUGGGACGUAAACUCCUUUCGACCGGGACGAUACUGACGGUACCGGAUGAAGAGCACCGGCUAACUCUGCGCCAGCAGCCGC
Molecule: ribosomal RNA, 459 nt
Filed under: uncultured bacterium
Lineage: Bacteria
Description: SSU rRNA
Rfam family: Bacterial small subunit ribosomal RNA
Source: RNAcentral